Molecule: non-coding RNA, 71 nt
Organism: Parelaphostrongylus tenuis
Lineage: Eukaryota; Metazoa; Nematoda; Chromadorea; Rhabditida; Metastrongylidae
Source: the annotation of a GenBank genome assembly
ACGUCAGUAGUGCAACGGCUCAGCACGCGCUCCUGAAGAGUGAAAUCUGGGUUCGAAUCCCUGCUGACGCA